UGAAAACCUCGCAACUGUCAUCUUCCUCCGUUCGAUCCGCUCCAGUUUCUUCACACUUACAGAGAUACUAAUAUUGGGUUUGUUGGUGAUUCCCUAAACAGAAACAUGUAUGUGUCUUUGUUUUGCACUCUGAGACGUGUCUCCGGUGAUGUGAAGAAAUGGCUUCCUGCGGGAGCUGAUCGUGGCUUUACUUUUCUCGAAUUUAAUCUUACCAUUGCAUAUCAUCGAACUAAUCUUUUGGCACGCUAUGGUAGGUGGUCAGCUAAUAGUAAUGGUGGUAAGUUGGAAGCUCUUGGAUAUAAACAUCGUUAAAAGUCUAGUUGAGCAUGCGUAAAGUGAACACACGUUCAUAACCAAAAUCCACACAAGUUUUUAUCAGUUUCACUACAUCUAUUUUAGCAGCAGCACAUACAAUGGAUAAACAUUGCUUUCUAAGUCUUCCAACAAUAGGUUGUGCCCGCAAACCAAGGCCUCUUGGCUGAAUUCACAUGGUAACAAGCUUUAGCCUUUAGGUGAAAUACCCCAGUCUCUAUUGAGUUUCCUAGUUACAGCCUUUGGUUCAAAAUGCAGCUCUUUGCGGAGCUCCAUUGGAGAAAUGUAAAAGCAUUGAGAGUAACCCGACAAAACCUGGAUCCAAUAGUGCAUUAGCGUCGUUGGUAAUGCCAGGUCGAAACCCAACUGUUAUAGCUUUAUCCCCAAGCUCAUUUCCGGUGACUGAAAACCCCAACAAAACUCCAAACUCUCGACAUCAGCAUAAUACAGCCAAAAUAAGCCUACUGGCUUUAAUAGCCAUUAUUUUAGGCGAUGUUUUGGUUCUCGCUUUGGUUUCCUCCUUGCUUUACUGUUACUGAUCUGAUCUUUAACACAGGGCACUGGUUUUCACCUUGUGUCUGAAAGUACACAAAAUUUUAUUGAUUGUAAGUUAAGAGAACCAAACAUAUUAAAUAGGGGGUUAAUCUAUGGCCAUGGUCCAUCCCAGCUUGUCCUCGAUUAGACCAGUUUGAAUCCCUGUUAGUUUUGCAAACAAUCUCUGAGCCGAGGAGGAGGAGGAGGAGGAGCUAAGGGUGUUGUUUUAUCAGAGUUAACGUGUCACCUCAGCAAAAAUUGACUGGUAACCUCAGCAAAAAAGAAAAACACAAAAAAGAAAGACCAACUUAAAAC
Long non-coding RNA from Hibiscus syriacus, 1161 nucleotides. RefSeq lists it as uncharacterized. The transcript is spliced from 3 exons. Lineage: Eukaryota; Viridiplantae; Streptophyta; Magnoliopsida; Malvales; Malvaceae. The record is from RefSeq and is a predicted model, not a curated record.